Molecule: ribosomal RNA, 822 nt
Filed under: uncultured bacterium
Lineage: Bacteria
Description: bacterial SSU rRNA
Rfam family: Bacterial small subunit ribosomal RNA
Source: RNAcentral
UAAAGUGAACGCUUGGCGCGUCUUAAACAUGCAGUCGAACGAACCUUCGGGUUAGUGGCGGACGGGUGAGUAACGCGUGAGAAUCUGCCCUCAGGAGGGGGAUAACGGUUGGAAACGACCGCUAAUACCCCAUAUGCCUACUGGUGAAAUGAAUUUCGCCUGAGGAUGAGCUCGCGUCUGAUUAGCUUGUUGGUGAGGUAAUGGCUCACCAAGGCUUCGAUCAGUAGCUGGUCUGAGAGGAUGAUCAGCCACACUGGGACUGAGACACGGCCCAGACUCCUACGGGAGGCAGCAGUGGGGAAUUUUCCGCAAUGGGCGAAAGCCUGACGGAGCAACGCCGCGUGAGGGAUGAAGGCCUCUGGGCUGUAAACCUCUUUUCUCAAGGAAGAAGAUAUGACGGUACUUGAGGAAUAAGCCACGGCUAAUUCCGUGCCAGCAGCCGCGGUAAUACGGGAGUGGCAAGCGUUAUCCGGAAUUAUUGGGCGUAAAGCGUCCGCAGGCGGCCUUUCAAGUCUGCUGUUAAAGCGUGGAGCUUAACUCCAUCAUGGCAGUGGAAACUGAAAGGCUUGAGUAUGGUAGGGGCAGAGGGAAUUCCCGGUGUAGCGGUGAAAUGCGUAGAUAUCGGGAAGAACACCAGUGGCGAAGGCGCUCUGCUGGGCCAUUACUGACGCUCAUGGACGAAAGCCAGGGGAGCGAAAGGGAUUAGAUACCCCUGUAGUCCUGGCCGUAAACGAUGAACACUAGGUGUCGGGGGAAUCGACCCCUUCGGUGUCGUAGCUAACGCGUUAAGUGUUCCGCCUGGGGAGUACGCACGCAAGUGUG